GGUGUCAGAAUGUAACGUGCCAAAGCAGGGGUGCCUGGGAAAAGCAGGGGCCCCUGAUAAAAUAGUUGCUACCAGCAGAGUCUGGCCACCAGCCAAAGAAAGGCCAAGAAGCCAGGGAAUAUGCACUGAAAGACCAAAAUUGUUAUUUUAUCUGUAUGUUCUUUAAUAGGUAGCCCUUGGCCGUAGGUACACAAUUUUUAAAAAAAUAGUAAGUACAAUGAGAAGUCUCCUAUUCACAAGGUCCCAGUUACUUAUAAACCUUCUGGAAGUACUUAUGCAUAUUUAAGAAGUAAUGGUAUGCUUUAGUCUUCCCUGUUUCUUACAUACACGGUAAUAUAUUCCACACACUGUUCUAAUCUUGCCCUUUAAGCUCUGUCCUGGAGGGAAUUCCCCGGCGGUCCAGGGGUUAGGGCUCCGUGCUUUCACUGCCGAGGGCCCGGCUUCGAUCCCUACUUGGGAUACUAAGAUCCCGCAAGCUGAGUGAGUGGCCAAAAAAAAAAAAAAAAAUCUGUCCUUGAGAGCUUUCCAUGAUCAGUGCCUCCCACUUUGUUCUUUUAUAGCUAGUGGUAUUCCACUGUAUGGGUUUCCCAUAACUAAUGUGAAUUAACUGUAGUUAGAUCCCUAUUGAUGGAGAUUUCAGUUGUUUCUACUAGUUUGCUAUUACAAAUGAUGCAGCAGUAAAUACUCUUAUGCCAGUGCCACUGUGUAGGUAUUCCAGUGUCCCGUAGGAUUAAUUCCCAGAAGUGGCCUUGCUGGGUCAGAGCUGGCUGUCUUUGUCCUUGUGACAACUACUGUCACACUGCCCUCCCUGGGCAGAAGCCUCUGGGAUGGGUCAGAUCAGCCUCUAAGCCAUCCCGUGGGUAAGUGGAAGAAGCUAGGGCACCCCAGGAUGUUCGGGUAGCUGGCCCAUAGCCGAGUCAAGGGAGGGUCAAGGUGAGAGGUGACAACCAGAAGGUGUGCUUCAAGACAGCAGGGCAUCGGCCGUGCUCACAGUGGUAUGUCCAGUGCCUGGUCACUGCCUGGUGCACAGAAGGCCCUCAAAGGAAUGAGCGUGAUAUUGUGAAGAGGAGGCCCUAGAGUUGGACUGGGUGAGUUUGCUGAGCUGUGUUUUCCCCAGGUAGACCAUGUCCUAAGUCUAUCUGCAGGGUAUAGGGAGGAUUGGAAGUAUUGUAGUACACGUAAUGCAAUGACAGCUGAAUCAUAGAGACGUGAUGCUGAGCGAAAACAGCAGAUUGCAUAAAAUGACACUCAGUGUGAUAGCAAAAAUAAGCAAAACUAAACCAUCUAUUGUUUGGUGACUUAAGCACGUGUGAUAAAACAGGAGAUCAGGGGAAGAAAAAGCACAAAAUUCACAUGAUGGCCCCUGUGAGGGGAGUGGGAAUGGGGUAAGGAAGGAUCCCAGGAAUUUGCAAAGGUGUUGGUAAUAUCUUGCUUCUCAGGCUGGGUGGUGGGUUCAUGAGUAUUCGAUUUAUAGCUCAGUUCCUAAUGCACAUAAGGUUCCACACACCCUUUUGUAUGUAUCAAAUACUAUGUGAGGGAAUUCCCUGGUGGUUCAGUGGAUAGGACUCUGUGCUUCCACUGCAGGGGGCACUGGUUCGCUCCCUGAUCUGGGAACUAAGAUCCCCCAUGCCACGCCACACAGCCAAAAAAAAAAAAGUAAGAAAACAUAAGUUUAGGUAUUUUAAAGGAACCACUUAAAAAAACUCUGUAAUGGCUUAAAAAACAAAAUCAAAAAGGCAACAUAAUCCUUUCCCAGAUGAUAAAAUCAAGUGGAGAUAAUGAAAUCAAUGUUCCAGUGACGAACUAUGGGCAGGUCCCCCUGUAGCUGCUUUCUUCUGUUGCUUCGUUUAGAACAGCUUUACUGAGGUAUAAUUGGCACACAAUGAACUGCAUAUAUCAAAAAUGUACUAUUUGAUGACUUUCACACAUACACACCAGUGAAACCAUUAUUGCAAUGGAGAGAAACAUUUCCAUCACCUGCAAAGCUUCUUCCUCUUUGUAAUCAGGGCCUCCUGUUCCUCCUUGUCUCCCCAUCCCGAAAUAAUAUUGAUCCGUUUUCUGUCAUUAUAGAUGAAUUUGAAUUUUUCAGAAUUUAUAUAAAUAGAAUCAUAUUGUACGUACUCCUUAUUUGGCUUCUUUCACUAAGCAUCAUUAUUUUGAGAUUCAUCCAUGUUGUUGCAUGUAUUAAUGGUCAUUCCUUUUAUUGCCAAGUAGUAUUCCAUCAUAUGGAUGUACCACCGUUUGUUUAGCUAGUUGCCUGUUGAUACACGUUUGGCUGUUUCCUGUUUUGGACUAUUUAUUACAAAUAAAGUUGCUAUGAACAUUC
This 2326-nucleotide long non-coding RNA is filed under the name Phocoena sinus (vaquita). Its description in RNAcentral is "lncRNA (ENSPSNG00000006798.1)". The record is from RNAcentral. Lineage: Eukaryota; Metazoa; Chordata; Mammalia; Artiodactyla; Phocoenidae.